Molecule: transfer RNA, 96 nt
Filed under: Nitrososphaerales archaeon
Lineage: Archaea; Thermoproteati; Nitrososphaerota; Nitrososphaeria; Nitrososphaerales
Description: tRNA-OTHER
Rfam family: tRNA
About the family: Transfer RNA (tRNA) molecules are approximately 80 nucleotides in length. Their secondary structure includes four short double-helical elements and three loops (D, anti-codon, and T loops). Further hydrogen bonds mediate the characteristic L-shaped molecular structure. tRNAs have two regions of fundamental functional importance: the anti-codon, which is responsible for specific mRNA codon recognition, and the 3' end, to which the tRNAs corresponding amino acid is attached (by aminoacyl-tRNA synthetases). tRNAs cope with the degeneracy of the genetic code in two manners: having more than one tRNA (with a specific anti-codon) for a particular amino acid; and 'wobble' base-pairing, i.e. permitting non-standard base-pairing at the 3rd anti-codon position.
Source: RNAcentral
GCCGGGGUAGCUCAGCCUGGUUAGAGCGCCAGCCUCCACAAAAAAAGGGCGUUACUCAUAAUCUGGAGGCCGCGGGUUCGAAACCCGCCCCCGGCA